Molecule: long non-coding RNA, 2528 nt
Organism: Oncorhynchus tshawytscha (Chinook salmon)
Lineage: Eukaryota; Metazoa; Chordata; Actinopteri; Salmoniformes; Salmonidae
Source: Ensembl
CUCUGUCCAGUUAGUAGAAUAAGUCAUGUAGUUAGAUAUAAAGGUGGGUUGACUCUGUCCAGUUAGUAGAAUAAGUCAUGUAGUUAGAUAUAAAGGUGGGUUGACUCUGUCCAGUUAGUAGAAUAAGUCAUGUAGUUAGAUAUAAAGGUGAGUUGACUCUGUCCAGUUAGUAGAAUAAGUCAUGUAGUUAGAUAUAAAGGUGGGUUGACUCUGUCCAGCUAGUAGAAUAAGUCAUGUAGUUAGAUAUAAAGGUGGGUUGACUCUGUCCAGUUAGUAGAAUAAGUCAUGUAGUUAGAUAUAAAGCUGGGUUGACUCUGUCCAGCUAGUAGAAUAAGUCAUGUAGUUAGAUAUAAAGCUGGUUUGACUCUGUCCAGUUAGUAGAAUAAGUCAUGUAGUUAGAUAUAAAGGUGGGUUGACUCUGUCCAGUUAGUAGAAUAAGUCAUGUAGUUAGAUAUAAAGGUGGGUUGACUCUGUCCAGUUAGUAGAAUAAGUCAUGUAGUUAGAUAUAAAGGUGGGUUGACUCUGUCCAGUUAGUAGAAUAAGUCAUGUGGUUAGAUAUAAAGACAAUAAGUCAUGUAGUUAGAUAUAAAGACAGUAAGUCAUGUAGUUAGAUAUAAAGACAACAUGGGGGAUCUGCUGCUGCACCUGACUUGGGUUGAUCACCUGCCAUUUUUUAUCAGAAGAUAAAGGUUUACUUUUCUGAUGUCAUGAGAUGAAUCUCAAGAGCUCUUAUUUGAUCUAUGUUACCUUCAGAAUAGAGACCUCGUGUCUUGUUCACAGGUCCUGAGAUCCAGUUAACCCUCAAAUCCUUGAAUAUUGUGCUCGUGACAGUAAUCAGUGCACUUGGGUCUGAAAGAGACAGGUAUUGUCUCGCUCUACAAAAUCAGCUGUUUUAGAAAUGGGUCUGUGAUUCUUGAGGCUGCUUUUAUCCAGAAGUUCACACGUGAAAUGCAAUAAACGGAAUAAUCUUGUCAAUGUGGUCAAGGAAAGAGGUUAUUGUUGAUUAACUAACCUUCAUAGUACUAAUACAUUGAUAUAUACUGAACAAAAAUAUAAACGCAACAUGUAAAGUGUUGGUUUCAUGAGCUGAAAUAAAAGCACACAAAAAAUGUAUUCUAUAUGCACAAAAAGCUUAUGUGUUGUGAAGGGAGGGAUAUAAAACAAAAAUUAUAAAAUUUAGAUUGUAAUUAUUUGUCAUCAUGACCCACAGCUCUCAUUCACUGUAAGAGGCACGUGUUGAAUUUGAUAAGCUGAAAUGAGCACCUGUCGGUUCAGGCUGUUUUCCUGGAAGGUGUCAGUAGUAGGGAGUGUAUGUGGUACCAUUAACAUUCAUUGACCUCUACUGUUCCAACAAUCACACAGCAGAUGGGACAUAAUCUCCUUUUAGACCCACACCAGGAUUAUUCACUGCAUCAUUUAGAUGGGUCUGAAUCGAUCUGAAAUGAAUUGCCGUUGUUGUCUUUUGUACCUAGUGGAAAUAAUGCGUUCAAAUUCACUAUCCUUGUUCUUGCAGUCUGAACUUUGUAAGUACGUUAUUGAUAUGAGCCCAAAAUCUAACUCUAACAAACACCCAACAACAUAGCAUAGGCCAGUAAACUAUCCCACAAUAUUAACUUGGUAUUUUUUGUUUGUAUUUUAUUAGGAUCAACCAUUAGCUGUUGUGAAAGUAGCAGCUACUCUUCCUGGAGUCCAACACAGAACAUGAAACAAUACAUAAUACAGAACAUUAAUAGACAAGAACAGCUCAAGGACAGAACUACAUCCCUUUUUUUUUUAAAUGGCACUCGUAGCCUACAUAUCAAUACAUACACACAAACUAUCUAGGUUAAAUAGGGGAGAGGUGUUGUGUCGUGAGGUGUUGCUUUAUCUGUUUUUUGAAACCAGGUUUGCUGUUUAUUUGAGCAAUAUUAAAUGGAACCAAGUUCCAUGCAAUAAUGGCUCUAUAUAAUACUGUACGCUUUCUUGAAUUUGUUCUUGAUUAAGGGACUGUGAAAAGACCCAUGGUGGCAUGUCUGGUGGGGUAAAUGUGUGUGUCAGAGCUGUGUGUAAAUUGACUAUGCAAACAAUUUGGGAUUUUCAACACAUUGUUUCUUAUAAAAAGAAGGGAUGCGGUCAGUCUCUCCUCAACUCUUAGCCAAGAGAGACUGGCAUGCAUAGUAUUUAUAUCAGCCCUCUGAUUACAAUGAAGAGCAAGACGUGGCUCUCUGUUCUGGGCCAGCUGCAGCUUAACUAGGUCUUUCCUUGCAGCUGACAAAACUAGCAGAACUUGUUUUUUUGGAGUGUUGUGUCAAAAAAAGCAUGGGCUACUGUGUGGUGCAGUGGUCUAAGGCACUACAUCUCAGUGCUCGAGGCAUCAAUACAAACCCUGGUUCGAUUCCAGGGUGUAUCACAACCGGCUGUGAUUGGGAGUCCCGUAGAGCGGGGCACAAUUGGCCCAGCGUUGUCUGGGUUAGGGUUUGACCGGGGUAGGCCAUCAUUGUAAAUAAAAAUGUGUUCUUAACUGACUUGCCUACAGUAGUUAAAUAAAG